CAUCAAAAUGUAGCUUAAUCCAAAGCAUUUAGCUUACGCCUAAAAGAUUUCAGCUAACCCUGACCAUUUUGA
Molecule: transfer RNA, 72 nt
Filed under: Lagostrophus fasciatus (banded hare-wallaby)
Lineage: Eukaryota; Metazoa; Chordata; Mammalia; Diprotodontia; Macropodidae
Description: transfer RNA-Val
Rfam family: tRNA
About the family: Transfer RNA (tRNA) molecules are approximately 80 nucleotides in length.
Source: RNAcentral